This 253-nucleotide ribosomal RNA is filed under the name uncultured bacterium. RNAcentral's name for it is "partial 16S ribosomal RNA". It matches the Rfam family "Bacterial small subunit ribosomal RNA", at positions 524 to 776 of the family's 1533-position model. The record is from RNAcentral.
UACGAAGGGGACUAGCGUUGUUCGGCAUUACUGGGCGUAAAGCGCACGUAGGCGGAUUUGUAAGUCAGGGGUGAAAUCCCGGGGCUCAACCUCGGAACUGCCUUUGAUACUGCAAAUCUCGAGUCCGAUAGAGGUGGGUGGAAUUCCUAGUGUAGAGGUGAAAUUCGUAGAUAUUAGGAAGAACACCGGUGGCGAAGGCGGCCCACUGGAUCGGUACUGACGCUGAGGUGCGAAAGCGUGGGGAGCAAACAGG